UGAAUUCUUCCAAAUUCCAGGUCUAUUGUCCUUGCCUAUGACCUUUAGCCCCGGUUUAAGACUUUUCAGUCUCCUGUGUUUAGCUUCGGGACAUUCUGCCAGAGCUAAUGCUUCAAAGCCUUUUGAGCGUUGGCAUGAGUAGUCAGCCUUACCCCUGGAGGGCCGUUUGCUCUUUUUGCUAUAACUAGUAGAGAUGAGAGUAAACGUGCUCCUUUACCAAGGCAGAGUGUUUACCAAGACUACAUCGAAAAUCAUAAUGCUGGAUUUGUGACGUCACCCUCAAUUGUUUCCAGACGGCUUCUCCGGCUGAUCAAAAAGAAGACGAGGCCAGUGUAUGCGCAUGGGGAAGUAGAUCUUCAAACAGAAAGAGGGUUCAGGAAUAAAAACUGUAAUAAUAAUAUGGAGAUCACAAAAUAACCGUAGGUGACUGAAAGACCCCUGGAGCGGGGAGACCCUCACUCAAGUCUCGGGAUGAUGCGACCCCCCAAGAACUCACUGACCAACCAUAAAUAUAAUCCACCAACAUCUCAACAUCACAACAGGAAACUCAGUAUAAUUCACAGCUGGAGCACCAAACAUCUCUAUAUAUCCCAUCACUCUACGUAGCCUAGGGUGAUCCUGAGCUUGCUUCAGCCUCCUGGGUGCCUGCUCAAGCAUAUACCACCACACCUAGCUAGAGUCUGAGUUUUAAGAGCCAAACCUCCUUACUCUACUCUGUGAGACAUCAAACUAAAGAAUGGAUUCCCCUCAAACCGGAGGCUUCCAGGCUGAUUUCUGGUGAUCUGGAAGAUAAGCUUUGAUUGUCUUACAGCCAUCUCUCUAGGUGUGAUGCUUUCAGGAGAGUAACGUUUGAAACCCACUGAAGGAGCAGAAUCAUCCUCGAAUCCUGCCACUCUCAGGGACUCAAGAACAGUCCUCAGGCUUCUGAGCUCGUGAUCCUCCAACUCCCCACAUGUGGAAGCCAAGGAAGAUCUUCAGCUUGUCGAUGACCUAGGAGACUCUUGGAUGAACCAUGAUGAGCGGGACACACUCUUGCAGGUUGCUGAGUAUUGCCUGCCGCUUAAAGCUUACCCUCAAAUCAAAACAAAAAGUGGACUAGGGGAGGGGCACAACGGAUCUCUUUAUCCCUCUUCACAACAUGAACACACUGAAAAAAAUGUCCUUGCUCUAACUUUUCACUGUUAGUAUCAUUGACUGGGCCAGUUGAGGACAGGUGACUGAACCUGGGUGAGCACAGGCUGAGGCCUAGUUACAAUAGUAGAGAAUGGCUCUCGCUGCCCUAUUGUGAGGCUCAUCAGAGAGAAUUCCCGAGCCUUUGAGUGCUUAUGGCCACUUCUAGGAACCUGUUUUAAAGCAGAACAGAAAAAAGAGCCUGUCUUGACGAUUUUCACAAGGCCUGCACGUCUGCUCCAAUCUGUGGUGUUUGUUUGCUUGCUUGUGUAAGGCUUGAAGUGAGUCUUAACUACCAGAAAACCCCCCAAGUGAGACACAGGAAUGGAGUUCGAUGCAAACGAAAGAGGUUUAUUGUUCUGGUGCGUCCACGUGGACCUUCAUCAGCCCCUCAUGGCAUUUCGAGUGACUAUACGGUGACCCCAAUGGCUAUAACAAACAGUUUUUAUACUUUUUAGGGGUACAGGUUACAUCAGCAAGGUUACAGUUUAAACUUAUUGGCUAGCAUAUGACAUGCAUUUGAACUCUAUCUGGGACCAGAGGGUUAGGUGACUAUCAGUCAGUACAUUCUGCAGUUUUUCAAGAAUAUCCCUGCUUCUCCGAGAACUGUGGGUGGAGAACGGAACUUGGCCUAGCCUUGACUCAAGGCCGGAAGCUGGUACUUGGCCUAAUCUUGACCUGAGGCAGUGUGUGUAGGGGCAAAAGCCCCUAGGGCCCUUCACAGGAACCCCGUAACCUUCCUACUUUCUACCAGGCCAAGCUUCUUAAUAGCUCUUAGACUUCAGAUAGAACUAGGGUCCUUCGCUUGCUUGCUUGCUUCUCCAAUAAUCAUGAUUGAGCCCUGCAUCAUGAUGGUAUCUGGCCUCUCCCAGUCCAAUUGAACUCUAAAUCAUUUCUAGUUAAUGGUACCUCCCUACCUCCCAUCCUGCCUAUGUCUAGAGGCCUGAUGAAUCAAUUGCCUAUCUUCUCAUCCUGACCUCCCCCACAGGUCCUUUUCCAUGACUGUAAGCCAUCUGUUCUGCAUCAGACCCAGACUUCUCCAACCACAAAAAGACCUAUAUUUGGAUUUUUGUAGAACACUGAUCCUUUGUGGAUAGAUUCUCUAUCUGUAUGUUCAAUUAACUACAAAACAGAAAUAUCCCGGAGGCAAGUCGGUAGAUUUUGUUAAAUGUCACUCUCUAAACAAUGUAGCACACACAUCAGUUAAGUUGUUCUAGAUAUGGUGGUGUGAACGAAAACUCCCCACAAGAUCAGAUGUUUGGAUACUUGGCCCCCAGUUGGUAGAUGUGACCUUGCUAGACAAAGUUGAGGGCUGGCUUUGAGGUUUCAGAAGGCUCAUGCCAUUCCCAGAGUGCUUGCUCUGCCUGCUGCGUGUGACUCUCAGCUUGUUGCUCAAGCCACCAUGUCUGCCCGAUGCCCUGUUACCUCACUGUAACAAUGUUGGACACAUCUCUCUGGAGCCACGUAUCCCAAAUAAACCCUUGCUUCU
Rattus norvegicus (Norway rat) is the source of this 2659-nucleotide long non-coding RNA. RefSeq lists it as uncharacterized. Lineage: Eukaryota; Metazoa; Chordata; Mammalia; Rodentia; Muridae. The record is from RefSeq and is a predicted model, not a curated record.